RNAcentral lists this ribosomal RNA (691 nucleotides) under uncultured bacterium. Its description in RNAcentral is "bacterial SSU rRNA". It matches the Rfam family "Bacterial small subunit ribosomal RNA", at positions 122 to 827 of the family's 1533-position model. The record is from RNAcentral.
UAACCUGCCCUUGACUUUGGGAUAACUUCAGGAAACUGGGGCUAAUACCGGAUAGGAGCUCCUGCUGCAUGGUGGGGGUUGGAAAGUUUCGGCGGUUGGGGAUGGACUCGCGGCUUAUCAGCUUGUUGGUGGGGUAGUGGCUUACCAAGGCUUUGACGGGUAGCCGGCCUGAGAGGGUGACCGGCCACAUUGGGACUGAGAUACGGCCCAGACUCCUACGGGAGGCAGCAGUGGGGAAUAUUGCACAAUGGGCGGAAGCCUGAUGCAGCAACGCCGCGUGCGGGAUGACGGCCUUCGGGUUGUAAACCGCUUUCGCCUGUGACGAAGCGUGAGUGACGGUAAUGGGUAAAGAAGCACCGGCUAACUACGUGCCAGCAGCCGCGGUGAUACGUAGGGUGCGAGCGUUGUCCGGAUUUAUUGGGCGUAAAGGGCUCGUAGGUGGUUGAUCGCGUCGGAAGUGUAAUCUUGGGGCUUAACCCUGAGCGUGCUUUCGAUACGGGUUGACUUGAGGAAGGUAGGGGAGAAUGGAAUUCCUGGUGGAGCGGUGGAAUGCGCAGAUAUCAGGAGGAACACCAGUGGCGAAGGCGGUUCUCUGGGCCUUUCCUGACGCUGAGGAGCGAAAGCGUGGGGAGCGAACAGGCUUAGAUACCCUGGUAGUCCACGCUGUAAACGGUGGGUACUAGGUGUGGGG